GUGGGAUCUUGUCCUUGUAUUGUUGCUGUUGAGCUUUACAAGGCUGCACGUGGCGGUGGUUCUCUUUUUUCUUGUUAUCAGUAAAGAAUGUGAUUAACCUACCCCACGCUACAUCUUGGUAUAAUUCCACCAACGCCGAUCGUUACAAUGAUAGAACGAUAGGCAAAUAUUGUACAAUCCAGGUGUGGAAAGGUCUCACUUACCCAGGAAGACUCACAGCCGCAAUUGCUGCCAAAGUGAACCAUGGGAAGUUUACUAAGCUGGAGGACUCGUAUGCGUUCGAGGAGGACAGCAGCAGUGGUACAGUGGUAGUCCGUCUCCAGAGCAACACCACAGUGAUGAGUCACAGGGGUCUGCAUGCCUAAGUGCAGCACCAGCCCUCAAUAGCCCUAAACAGGUUGCUCUGGAAUUCAUGAGACUGGUAUCUGUGGACCUCAAGAAGAUAUUUUAUGAAGGCCUGGACAGUCAUCUUUCCAAGCUCCUUGAAUUCUACCGGGCCAAGAGCGAUGGAGGGAUGGAGCUAAAACACCUUAUGGAAAGUCUUGACAAAGACAGAGGUUCCAUUAUAUUCACAUUCAAUUCCAAUCAAGGGAAGCGAGAGGGUGUGCCCCGAGGAUUGCCAUACUUCCUGCGAGAAGACCCUACCAAUUUCUUUUAAAGAUAAGAAACUAAGCCUUUCUCUUGGACAACUUCAUCUUGGACUGCAAAGCAAAAAUCAGGACCAUACAUUAAACCCAAUACUAGGUUUGGGCAAUAAUACCUAACUACCAUGUAAACUACUAUUGAUAGCUGUUGUCGACGGCUGUGAAAUGUAAGUAUGCGCAGGUUUUUGGAUAUUUUAAUGUAUUACACACCCCUGGUGUAUGGCAGCACACAAUACUGCUGUGCCCUUAGUGAUAUGUCAAAUUCCCCCUUAGACAACAGAAUUAAAGUGGCACUGUGAGGAAUUCCAAAUUCUAUACCAAAGCUGUAAAAAUAUUUAUUAUUGAUGGGACAAUUCAUCCCUACACCAUGCAGUGCUGAUUUUGCCAUCUGAACAGGAAUUGCAAUCAGUUUUGCUUCAAGAUUGUUUGUCAGUGGGCUCGCUCCGGUCCGUCUUCAAUAUAAACUUUGCAUUUUUAGGCUAUACUUUUGUGU
This is a long non-coding RNA of Oncorhynchus tshawytscha (Chinook salmon), 1137 nucleotides long. NCBI's taxonomy places the organism in Eukaryota, Metazoa, Chordata, Actinopteri, Salmoniformes, Salmonidae. The record is from Ensembl.